RNAcentral lists this ribosomal RNA (186 nucleotides) under Escherichia coli. Its description in RNAcentral is "partial 16S ribosomal RNA". It matches the Rfam family "Bacterial small subunit ribosomal RNA", at positions 1 to 180 of the family's 1533-position model. The record is from RNAcentral. Lineage: Bacteria; Pseudomonadati; Pseudomonadota; Gammaproteobacteria; Enterobacterales; Enterobacteriaceae. RNAcentral also lists the same sequence under 2 other names.
AAAUUGAAGAGUUUGAUCAUGGCUCAGAUUGAACGCUGGCGGCAGGCCUAACACAUGCAAGUCGAACGGUAACAGGAAGCAGCUUGCUGCUUUGCUGACGAGUGGCGGACGGGUGAGUAAUGUCUGGGAAACUGCCUGAUGGAGGGGGAUAACUACUGGAAACGGUAGCUAAUACCGCAUAACGUC